RNAcentral lists this small nuclear RNA (107 nucleotides) under Procavia capensis (Cape rock hyrax). Lineage: Eukaryota; Metazoa; Chordata; Mammalia; Hyracoidea; Procaviidae. The record is from RNAcentral.
GGGCUUGCUUCAGCAGCGCACAUAUAAAAACUAGAACAAUACAGAGAAGCUUAUCAUGGCCCCUGUGCAAGGAAGACACACAAAUUUGAGAAGCGUUCUUUAUGUCU